GACGAACCGAGCGAACGUUGUUCGGAAUCACUGGGCUUAAAGGGCGCGUAGGCGGAUUCUCAAGUCCGGGGUGAAAUCCCACAGCUCAACUGUGGAACUGCCUCGGAUACUGGGGGUCUCGAGGGUGGCAGGGGUAUGGCGGAACUAUCGGUGGAGCGGUGAAAUGCGUAGAUAUCUGGAGGAACACCGGUGGCGAAGGCGGCAUCCUGGACCGGCAUUGACGCUGAGACGCGAAAAGCGUGGGGAGCAAACAGG
Molecule: ribosomal RNA, 255 nt
Filed under: uncultured bacterium
Lineage: Bacteria
Description: partial 16S ribosomal RNA
Rfam family: Bacterial small subunit ribosomal RNA
Source: RNAcentral